RNAcentral lists this ribosomal RNA (528 nucleotides) under uncultured bacterium. RNAcentral's name for it is "bacterial SSU rRNA". It matches the Rfam family "Bacterial small subunit ribosomal RNA", at positions 355 to 900 of the family's 1533-position model. The record is from RNAcentral.
UGGGGAAUCUUGGACAAUGGGGGCAACCCUGAUCCAGCCAUGCCGCGUGAGUGAUGAAGGCCUUAGGGUCGUAAAGCUCUUUCGCCUGUGAAGAUAAUGACGGUAGCAGGUAAAGAAACCCCGGCUAACUCCGUGCCAGCAGCCGCGGUAAUACGGAGGGGGUUAGCGUUGUUCGGAAUUACUGGGCGUAAAGCGCACGUAGGCGGACCAGAAAGUUGGGGGUGAAAUCCCGGGGGCUCAACCCCGGAACUGCCUCCAAAACUAUUGGUCUAGAGUUCGAGAGAGGUGAGUGGAAUUCCAAGUGUAGAGGUGAAAUUCGUAGAUAUUCGGUGGAACACCAGUGGCGAAGGCGACUCGCUGGUCCGGUACUGACGCUGAGGUGCGAAAGCGUGGGGGAGCAAACAGGAUUAGAUACCCUGGUAGUCCACGCCGUAAACGAUGAGUGCUAGUCGUCGGCAGGCAUGCCUGUCGGUGACGCAGCUAACGCAUUAAGCACUCCGCCUGGGGAGUACGGCCGCAGGUUAAAAC